RNAcentral lists this ribosomal RNA (468 nucleotides) under uncultured bacterium. Its description in RNAcentral is "partial 16S ribosomal RNA". It matches the Rfam family "Bacterial small subunit ribosomal RNA", at positions 28 to 507 of the family's 1533-position model. The record is from RNAcentral.
GACGAACGCUGGCGGCGUGCUUAACACAUGCAAGUCGAACGGAAAGGCCUUGCGCUUGUGGGGUGUUCGAGUGGCGCACGGGGGAGUAUCAUGUGUGUGACCUGCCCUUUUCUUUGGGAUAUCAUCAGGAAACUGGGGCUAAUACACGAUAGGAGACCUUUCAGCACGGUGGGGGGUGGAAAGUUUCGGCGGUUGGGGAUGGACUCGCGGACUAUCAGCUUGUUGGUGGGGUAGUGGCUUACCAAGGCAUUGACGGGUAGCCGGCCUGAGAGGGUGACCGGCCACAUUGGGACUGAGAUACGGCCCAGACUCCUACGGGAGGCAGCAGUGGGGAAUAUUGCACAAUGGGCGGAAGCCUGAUGCAGCAACGCCGCGUGAGGGAUGACGGCCUUCGGGUUGUAAACCGCUUUCGGCUGUGACGAAGCGAGAGUGACGGUAAUGGGAGAAGAAGCACCGGCUAACUACGUG